CCUACGGGUGGCUGCAGUGGGGAAUAUUGCACAAUGGGGGAAACCCUGAUGCAGCGAAGCCGCGUGAGUGAAGAAGUAUUUCGGUAUGUAAAGCUCUAUUAGCAGGGAAGAAAAUGACGGUACCUGACUAAGAAGCCCCGUCUAACUACGUGCCAGCAGCCGCGGUAAUACGGAGGGGGCAAGUGUUAUCCGGAUUUACUGGGUGUAAAGGGAGCGUAGGUGGGAUGGUAAGCCAGAAGUGAAAACCCAGGGCUCAACUCUGUGGAUUGCUGUUGGAACUAUCAAGCUAGAGUGCUGGAGGGGUAAGCGGAAUUCGUGGUGUAGCGGUGAAAUGCGUAGAUAUUAGGAGGAACGCCGAUGGCGAAGGCAGCUUACUGGACAGAAACUGACGCUGAGGCUCGAAAGCGUGGGGAGCAAACAGGAUUAGAUACCCUGGUAGUC
RNAcentral lists this ribosomal RNA (441 nucleotides) under uncultured bacterium. RNAcentral describes it as "partial 16S ribosomal RNA". It matches the Rfam family "Bacterial small subunit ribosomal RNA", at positions 338 to 795 of the family's 1533-position model. The record is from RNAcentral.